CCUACGGGCGGCACCAGUGGGGUAUAUUGCACAAUGGGCGCAAGCCUGAUGCUGCCAUGCCGCGUGUAUGAAGAAGGCCUUAGGGUUGUAAAGUACUUUCAGUUGGGAGGAAGGCGUUGAUGCUAAUAUCAUCAACGAUUGACGUUACCAACAGAAGAAGCACCGGCUAACUCCGUGCCAGCAGCCGCGGUAAUACGGAGGGUGCAAGCGAUAAUCGGAAUUACUGGGCGUAAAGCGCACGCAGGCGGUUGAUUAAGUUAGAUGUGAAAUCCCCGGGCUUAACCUGGGAAUGGCAUCUAAGACUGGUCAGCUAGAGUCUUGUAGAGGGGGGUAGAAUUCCAUGUGUAGCGGUGAAAUGCGUAGAGAUGUGGAGGAAUACCGGUGGAGAAGGCGGCCCCCUGGACAAAGACUGACGCUCAGGUGUGAAAGCGUGGGGAGCAAACAGGAUUAGAUACCCCUGUAGUC
This 465-nucleotide ribosomal RNA is filed under the name uncultured bacterium. RNAcentral's name for it is "bacterial SSU rRNA". It matches the Rfam family "Bacterial small subunit ribosomal RNA", at positions 338 to 795 of the family's 1533-position model. The record is from RNAcentral.